UACGUAGGGGGCAAGCGUUGUCCGGAUUUAUUGGGCGUAAAGAGCGUGUAGGCGGCUUGGCAAGUCGGGUGUGAAACCUCCAGGCUCAACCUGGAGACGCCACUCGAUACUGCUAUGGCUAGAGUCCGGUAGGGGACCACGGAAUUCCUGGUGUAGCGGUGAAAUGCGCAGAUAUCAGGAGGAACACCGGUGGCGAAGGCGGUGGUCUGGGCCGGCACUGACGCUGAGGAGCGAAAGCGUGGGUAGCAAACAGG
This 254-nucleotide ribosomal RNA is filed under the name uncultured bacterium. RNAcentral's name for it is "partial 16S ribosomal RNA". It matches the Rfam family "Bacterial small subunit ribosomal RNA", at positions 524 to 776 of the family's 1533-position model. The record is from RNAcentral.